RNAcentral lists this ribosomal RNA (459 nucleotides) under uncultured bacterium. RNAcentral's name for it is "partial 16S ribosomal RNA". It matches the Rfam family "Bacterial small subunit ribosomal RNA", at positions 338 to 795 of the family's 1533-position model. The record is from RNAcentral.
CCUACGGGUGGCUGCAGUGAGGAAUAUUGGUCAAUGGCCGGAAGGCUGAACCAGCCAAGCCGCGUGAAGGACGAAUGUGCCAAGCAUUGUAAACUUCUUUUGUCAAGGGACAAAAUCAGGCUCGAGAGCCUGACCGAGGGUACUUGAAGAAAAAGCAUCGGCUAACUCCGUGCCAGCAGCCGCGGUAAUACGGAGGAUGCGAGCGUUAUCCGGAUGUAUUGGGUUUAAAGGGUGCGUAGGCGGGCUGUUAAGUCAGCGGGAAAAGCCCGGGGCUCAACCCCGGACAGCCGUUGAAACUGGCUGUCUUGAGAUGUCGAGAGGUAGGCGGAAUGCGCGGUGUAGCGGUGAAAUGCUUAGAUAUUGCGAAGAACUCCGAUUGCGAAGGCAGCAUACCGGCGGCGAACUGACGCUGAGGCACGAAAGCGUGGGUAUCGAACAGGAUUAGAUACCCUGGUAGUC